AUGGCUAGAUCCCAGAAAGUUUGAUCAGGUCAGAACUGCUUCUCUCCCUAGUAAUGCACUUCAAAACCUCAGCACAUGUCUCCUCAAAUUUGAUAGCAGGGCAACUGUAAAUAACCUCCAGUCAGAACUGAAAAGUUUUGCUGGACAGUGGGACAGGCUUAAGGCAUCUCAUGUGGAUGAGUACAAGACCAGAACAGCAGAGGAUGGAUCUGCAGAAUGGGAACAAGAAAGUGAGAUUGUGACCAAAAGCUGUGAUUCGUGCAAAAAUUGCCCACUGUGCUGCUAUCAACUUCUCAGACGGUUCAACAUGCUCUCAGAUGUUUAUCGUCUCCUUGGGCUUGCAUACAAGUACCUGCUGACCCUCUCUCUGACUCAGGUAGCCUGUGAAAGAACAUUCUCAACACUCAAAUUUAUUAAAAGCAGACUCAGAAGCAGCCUGUCCGCGAACAGGCUACAGAUGUUUAUGCUCAUGGCCACUGAAAAGGACAUUCUCAUGUCAUUGGACUCCGACAUGGUCAUUGAUCGGGUAGCUGAGAAGAGUGAGCUGUUGAGAAAGUUGCUUUUGUAGCUUGAUGAGGGAAAAAAAAUGAUCAAAACACUCAUUAUAAGGAUGCUGUCACUCAUUUUUGGAAGCCUGCUGUGGUUUCCUCAAAGGUUCCAUGUUUGAGGAAAUAUUAUGUGCUGCUGACCUGAGUUUUGCUGCUACUGGAUGUCAAUGCUGACUUUAUUAAUAUGGUUUAUUAAUAUGGAUCCAAGAAUAUGUUGUUCAUUUGUUCAGGAGAUUGAGUACACCAUGCAUCCUUUUGGUUCUCUCCAAGUACUGUAAGUACUGCAUGGAACUGAUUAUUCAACUAUUUCUCUGGAGUACAUAGACCAGUACUGUGAUCACCUGAGUAAGUCCAUCAAGUGUUAUUCUUUCUCACCUUUUUCUGUCUGUCUCCUAUCACUUUUUGAAGGGUUCCAUGUUGGAGGAAAUAUUCUUUGCUACUCUGCUGUUUGUGUGGAAUAAAUAAUCUCUAAAAAUA
Long non-coding RNA from Melanotaenia boesemani (Boeseman's rainbowfish), 1025 nucleotides. RefSeq lists it as uncharacterized. The transcript is spliced from 4 exons. The record is from RefSeq and is a predicted model, not a curated record. Lineage: Eukaryota; Metazoa; Chordata; Actinopteri; Atheriniformes; Melanotaeniidae.